This 1645-nucleotide long non-coding RNA is filed under the name Helianthus annuus (common sunflower). RNAcentral's name for it is "hypothetical non coding rna". Lineage: Eukaryota; Viridiplantae; Streptophyta; Magnoliopsida; Asterales; Asteraceae. The record is from RNAcentral.
UUAACACAUUAAGAUCAAACUUUACUACAAAAAAUAAAAACGUAUAUAAUACAAUUACACUUAAGUUAUAAAAUCUUAUGUCAAAUUCUCUUUUAAGUUACAAUUAUGGCAUAAAAUACACACCCAAUUUAAUUUACGACAUAUAACAUAUUGGAAAAAAAAAAUAAAACAUAAUAUAAAUGGGUUAAACGGGCCAACCCGCCAACCCGACCCGUUUAGCUAAACGGGUUCGCAGGUUCAACCUGAAAACUGACCUGAACCCGUUCAAAGCUUUUCCUGGAAAUGCAGAGUGCAUUUUUGCUUACUUUAGCUGGUGAAUUGUUUUUCCGACAUUCGGUUGGUACAUGAGAACUAAAUGGCACUUGAAUAGCUUUAUCAAAAGAAACUGCAGCCGGCAGCAUUUUUUCUUUAGGUUUGACCUCACUUUGACUUUUUACACGCCGAACCCCUGAUGGUUUGACUUUUGACCCGCAAGAAGCUUCUCUUCUCUUCUUAGAAUUGUUUAAACUCAGCAUUGAUGACUCAUCAAUGUAUCGUUUUGUAGGCUUACGCGAUCUUUUGAGCGUAAGUUCCCCAACACCACCAUGAUCUUCAACAGAGCUCGUGCUUGUGGGCCCGUCUUUACAAAACGGGGUUACUUCCGUCUCGUUUUGUGAAAAUUGAGGUAGGAAUAUCUCUUGGUUAUUAUUUUCUUGGUCAACGAAAGAAUUUGAAAAGUCUUCGAAUCGGUCUAGUCCUUUUGGUUCGGAUGGAUUAGUUGAUGUUCCGAAUAUACAGUUGCUAAUUAAGUAAUUUUGAUAUUCGAUUCCUAAAAUGUUUUCGGUUAAUGAAUUUUGUACGUCGAAACUACCCUUCAUCGGAAACUGAGUGUUCCUGGUGUGCAAACCUUCGUUGGAAACAUAGCCUAUAAAAGCACCAUGAUCAAAUCCAAUAUCUGUAGUAAAUGUUUUAAAAAUUGAUGGUAAUUUAAUAACAUCGUUAUGAGUAUAAUGAAAAGAGUAAAAUGACGUUUUCGUCCUUGAGACGUUUGUUGUUAGAAGAUUAUUCACUCCAACUUCAUGUGGCAAAACAUCAAAUGCCUAUAAUAUGCGUGAUUUCAUGAAUAUAAAUACAAGAACAAUGACUAAGUUUAACUAAGUCGAUAAACACGAACUAAACUAGCUUUUAAAAGAAACAAAGUAUGCAACAAUAACAUUUUAGUAUUUAUUUGAGAUGAAAAGUAACUUUCAAAAGAACUAAACUAGCUUUUAACAGAAGACGUACAUUACGAAUUGUCAUAUCUACACCUUCCAUGUUUCGAUUUGAAUCCGGGACACCUAUAUAAGAUGUAAAAAGUAACUCUCAUCAAUUGAAAUUACAACGCUAUUGUUAGGAGUGUAAACAAGCCUAGAAGCUCGAGAGCUACCCGUUAUCGGCUCGGUUAAAAGCUCAAACGAGCCGAGCUUUAACGAGCCCGGGAGCCCGAGCUCGAGCCUGAAUUAGAGCUCGUUUAGUUAUCGAGCCCGAGCUCGAGCCUGAAAUACAAAGCUCGUUUAGGCUCGCGAGCCUAAACGAGCCCAAACAAAAAUUUAUUUAUUUUUUAUAUAACAUAAUAAUAAUGAUGAUAACAUUGGCGAGUUGAACUCGAGCCGAGCUUUGGCUCGUU